This 252-nucleotide ribosomal RNA is filed under the name uncultured bacterium. Its description in RNAcentral is "partial 16S ribosomal RNA". It matches the Rfam family "Bacterial small subunit ribosomal RNA", at positions 524 to 776 of the family's 1533-position model. The record is from RNAcentral.
UACGGGGGGGCAAGCGUUGUUCGGAAUUACUGGGCGUAAAGGGCUCGUAGGUGGCCAACUAAGUCACACGUGAAAUCCCCAGGCUUAACCUGGGAACUGCGUGUGAUACUGGAUGGCUUGAAUCCGGGAGAGGGAUGCGGAAUUCCAGGUGUAGCGGUGAAAUGCGUAGAUAUCUGGAGGAAUACCGGUGGCGAAGGCGGCAUCCUGGACCGAGAUUGACGCUGAGGAGCGAAAGCUAGGGGAGCAAACGGG